This 253-nucleotide ribosomal RNA is filed under the name uncultured bacterium. RNAcentral's name for it is "partial 16S ribosomal RNA". It matches the Rfam family "Bacterial small subunit ribosomal RNA", at positions 524 to 776 of the family's 1533-position model. The record is from RNAcentral.
GACGUAGGAUGCAAGCGUUGUCCGGAUUUAUUGGGCGUAAAGAGUUCGUAGGCGGUUUGUUAAGUCUGAUGUUAAAGACUGGGGCUCAACCUCGGGAGUGCAUUGGAUACUGGCAGACUCGAGUGCAGUAGAGGCAAGCGGAAUUCCAGGUGUAGCGGUGAAAUGCGUAGAUAUCUGGAAGAACACCGGUGGCGCAAGCGGCUUGCUGGGCUGUAACUGACGCUGAGGAACGAAAGCUAGGGUAGCGAAUGGG